GAUGAACGCUGGCGGCGUGCCUAAUACAUGCAAGUCGAGCGAACAGACGAGGCGCUUGCUCCUCUGACGUUAGCGGCGGACGGGUGAGUAACACGUGUAUAACCUACCUAUAAGACUGGGAUAACUUCGGGACACCGGAGCUAAUACCGUAUAAUAUAUUGAACCGCAUGGUUCAAUAGUGAAAGUCGGUUUUGCUGUCACUUAUAGAUGGAUCCGCGCCGCAUUAGCUAGUUCGUAAGGUAACGGCUUACCAAGGCAACGAUGCGUAGCCGACCUGAGAGGGUGAGCGGCCACACUGGAACGGAGACACGGUCCAGAGGCCUACGGGAGGCAGCAGUAGGGAAUCGUGCGCCAUGGGCGGAGACCUGACGGAGCAACGCCGAGUGAGUGAUGAAGAUCUCCGGAUCGUAAAACUCUGUUAUUAGGGAAGAAAAAGUGUGUAAGUAACUAGGCACGUCUUGAAGGUAACUAAUUAGAGAGCCACGGCUAAAUACGUG
This 497-nucleotide ribosomal RNA is filed under the name uncultured bacterium. Its description in RNAcentral is "partial 16S ribosomal RNA". It matches the Rfam family "Bacterial small subunit ribosomal RNA", at positions 28 to 507 of the family's 1533-position model. The record is from RNAcentral.